This 239-nucleotide long non-coding RNA is filed under the name Phoenix dactylifera (date palm). RNAcentral's name for it is "long non-coding RNA (PDAC_LNC000078)". The record is from RNAcentral. Lineage: Eukaryota; Viridiplantae; Streptophyta; Magnoliopsida; Arecales; Arecaceae.
AGCUCCAUCGCGAUCCGUGGCUUCCCCGCUGCCGUCUUCCUCCUCCUUCUCUGAGGUAAGCCUCCUCCUUCUCCUCCUCCUCCUCCUCAUCCUUCUCGUCCUCCUCCUCUUCUUUGUUUUCAGGGCUUGCAAACUGAUCUCACCUCCAUCCGUAGCCUCGAUCGGCGAUCGAAGAUUCUGCUUCUCCGCCGCCGUCGACCUCGCCGUCGUCUGAGGUAAGCCUCCUCCUCAUCCUUCUN